Long non-coding RNA from Juglans microcarpa x Juglans regia, 146 nucleotides. RefSeq lists it as uncharacterized. The transcript is spliced from 3 exons. Lineage: Eukaryota; Viridiplantae; Streptophyta; Magnoliopsida; Fagales; Juglandaceae. The record is from RefSeq and is a predicted model, not a curated record.
CUAACCACAACCUGCUCAUCACCACACACAUAUCCAACUCAUAUGUGAAUAAAUAUAUAAGAAAAAUGCUAAAUGAAUCCCACAAUGUUACUGCUUAUACAUUUUAUUUUAUUUUAUUUUAUUAAGUAAUUAAAAAAUCACUAUUA